RNAcentral lists this ribosomal RNA (250 nucleotides) under uncultured bacterium. Its description in RNAcentral is "partial 16S ribosomal RNA". It matches the Rfam family "Bacterial small subunit ribosomal RNA", at positions 525 to 774 of the family's 1533-position model. The record is from RNAcentral.
ACGUAGGAGACGAGCGUUAUCCGGAUUUACUGGGCGUAAAGCGCGGGUCGGUGGGGCCUUAAGUCAUGCGUGAAAGCUCUCGGCUUAACCGGGAGAGGUCGUGUGAAACUGGGGUUCUGGAGGUAGGUAGAGGCAGAUGGAAUUCCGGGUGGAGUGGUGAAAUGCGUAGAGAUCCGGAGGAACACCAGUGGCGAAGGCGAGUCCCUGGACGACACCUGACACUGAGGCACGAAAGCUAGGGGAGCAAACA